This 453-nucleotide ribosomal RNA is filed under the name uncultured Hyphomicrobiales bacterium. RNAcentral describes it as "bacterial SSU rRNA". It matches the Rfam family "Bacterial small subunit ribosomal RNA", at positions 1 to 507 of the family's 1533-position model. The record is from RNAcentral. Lineage: Bacteria; Pseudomonadati; Pseudomonadota; Alphaproteobacteria; Hyphomicrobiales.
GUAGUUGACUCCGUGGCACAGAACGACGCUGGCGGCAGGCUUAACACAUGCAAGUCGAGCGGACCCCUCGGGGUCAGCGGCAGACGGGUGAGUAACACGUGGGAAUCUACCCAUCUCUAGGGAAUAACUCAGGGAAACUUGUGCUAAUACCCUAUACGUCCUCCGGGAGAAAGAUUUAUCGGAGAUGGAUGAGCCCGCGUUGGAUUAGCUAGUUGGUGAGGUAAUGGCUCACCAAGGCGACGAUCCAUAGCUGGUCUGAGAGGAUGAUCAGCCACACUGGGACUGAGACACGGCCCAGACUCCUACGGGAGGCAGCAGUGGGGAAUAUUGGACAAUGGGCGCAAGCCUGAUCCAGCCAUGCCGCGUGUGUGAUGAAGGCCUUAGGGUUGUAAAGCACUUUCACCGAUGAAGAUAAUGACGGUAGUCGGAGAAGAAGCCCCGGCUAACUUCGUG